Molecule: ribosomal RNA, 252 nt
Filed under: uncultured bacterium
Lineage: Bacteria
Description: partial 16S ribosomal RNA
Rfam family: Bacterial small subunit ribosomal RNA
Source: RNAcentral
UACGAAGGGGGCUAGCGUUGCUCGGAAUCACUGGGCGUAAAGGGUGCGUAGGCGGGUCUUUAAGUCAGGGGUGAAAUCCUGGAGCUCAACUCCAGAACUGCCUUUGAUACUGAGGAUCUUGAGUCCGGGAGAGGUGAGUGGAACUGCGAGUGUAGAGGUGAAAUUCGUAGAUAUUCGCAAGAACACCAGUGGCGAAGGCGGCUCACUGGCCCGGUACUGACGCUGAGGUGCGAAAGCGUGGGGAGCAACAGG